This 378-nucleotide ribosomal RNA is filed under the name uncultured archaeon. RNAcentral describes it as "bacterial SSU rRNA". It matches the Rfam family "Archaeal small subunit ribosomal RNA", at positions 691 to 1068 of the family's 1478-position model. The record is from RNAcentral.
CCGACGGUGAGAGACGAAAGCUGGGGGAGCAAACCGGAUUAGAUACCCGGGUAGUCCCAGCCGUAAACGAUGUGCGUUAGGUGUAUCGGUGACCACGAGUCACCGAGGUGCCGAAGAGAAAUCGUGAAACGUACCGUCUGGGAAGUACGGUCGCAAGGCUGAAACUUAAAGGAAUUGGCGGGGGAGCACCACAACAGGUGGAGCCUGCGGUUUAAUCGGACUCAACGCCGGGAAACUCACCAGAUAAGACAGCUGAAUGAUAGUCGGGCUGAAGACUCUACUUGACUAGCUGAGAGGAGGUGCAUGGCCGUCGUCAGUUCGUACUGUGAAGCAUCCUGUUAAGUCAGGCAACGAGCGAGACCCACGCCAACAGUUGCU